Molecule: ribosomal RNA, 253 nt
Filed under: uncultured bacterium
Lineage: Bacteria
Description: partial 16S ribosomal RNA
Rfam family: Bacterial small subunit ribosomal RNA
Source: RNAcentral
UACAGAGGUGGCAAGCGUUGUUCGGAAUUACUGGGCGUAAAGGGCGCGUAGGCGGCCUUCUAAGUCAGACGUGAAAUCCCCCGGCUUAACUGGGGAACUGCGUCCGAUACUGGAUGGCUUGAGUUUGGGAGAGGGAUGCGGAAUUCCAGGUGUAGCGGUGAAAUGCGUAGAUAUCUGGAGGAACACCGGUGGCGAAGGCGGCAUCCUGGACCAACACUGACACUGAGGAGCGAAAGCCAGGGGAGCAAACGGG